GACGAACGCUGGCGGCGUGCUUAACACAUGCAAGUCGAACGAUGACGACCGAGCUUGCUCGGUCUGAUUAGUGGCGAACGGGUGAGUAACACGUGAGCAACCUGCCCUUCACUCUGGGAUAACCUCGGGAAAUCGGGGCUAAUACCGGAUAUGAGCUCCUGUCGCAUGGCGGGUGUUGGGAAGUUUUUCGGUGAAGGAUGGGCUCGCGGCCUAUCAGUUUGUUGGUGAGGUAGUGGCUCACCAAGGCGAUGACGGGUAGCCGGCCUGAGAGGGCGACCGGCCACACUGGGACUGAGACACGGCCCAGACUCCUACGGGAGGCAGCAGUGGGGAAUAUUGCACAAUGGGCGAAAGCCUGAUGCAGCGACGCCGCGUGAGGGAUGACGGCCUUCGGGUUGUAAACCUCUUUCAGCAGGGAAGAAGCGAAAGUGACGGUACCUGCAGAAGAAGCGCCGGCUAACUACGUG
RNAcentral lists this ribosomal RNA (467 nucleotides) under uncultured bacterium. Its description in RNAcentral is "partial 16S ribosomal RNA". It matches the Rfam family "Bacterial small subunit ribosomal RNA", at positions 28 to 507 of the family's 1533-position model. The record is from RNAcentral.